CCUUGACGUGCCUGUUGUUCCUUCCAGUGGCCAGCUCCGUGCCUUGUGCACCUGAGAAGCCCCCAAGAACACUGCUGCCUUCCCUUUCCUGUUGCUUGCCUCCUCUCAAGAUCUUUGUUCCAAAAGGCUUCCAGAAAGAUGGUGUACCUUGUGGCAGAUGAAGGUCUUCUUUGUUAAUUACUUAACUCUUCAAGCCCUUUGCUGCAAACAUCUCCAUCCACAAGCCAGGCUUCUGGCCAGCGUGGCCACUCCUGAAGACCAGGCAGAGAAAGGCAAACAGCAGGUCUGCAGGGAGGAUAUGGCAUAACGAAGCUGUGAGCAAGGCUUUACCAUCAAGCCAUAAACUGCCCCAACAACAUCUCCUGGCUGGCUAAUGGCACACCUAAUAGACUGAGUGAGUAUGCAUGGAUUCACUGGAAUCUCUGUCCCUAUUAUGAAUGCGCUGAAUGACAUAGAAGCUCAGGCUCUGCAAGGCAAAGUAGGUAAAAUAACACUAAGACCUAUUCUUCUCUAGGUUCCUACAAGCCUCUGGGAAGAUGAGGGAUUAAUGAUGGGUGUUUGUUUUCCUGUAGAUUUCUAAUCAUACUUCUGUUGCCUCCUAUUAUAUACACAUACAUGGUGUUUGUUCCUUCUCCACUAGAAAAAAAAAAAAAAAGAGGAAGUGAAUUGGGGGGAGUCCAAUUACUGGAACUUAAUUAAAACAAUUUAAAAAUGACUUAAGCAAUUAUCUAACAAGUGAUCUCUUUGGUAGCAGCUGUACACAGACAAUUUAUUAGUUAGUGAGGCCAACCCUGUUUUUUUAAUAUAAACAGACUAAUUAAUCAGUGGUUAACUCUUGUAAUGACCAACUCUGGCAUUUAAUUAUUGCUGCUGUCAUCAAGCAUAAUCAUUUAUUUCCCAGGGUUAUUAUACAAACUGCCAACAGUGACCAGUCCGUGAGAAGUUUAAAGUGCUUUCCCUAAUUGUCUCUCAGUUCCACAUCCUCAGGACUUUUUUAGAGCACGUUUUUCCUAGUGUGAAAAGUUCCACCCAGCUUUUUGGCUCGGUGGCAAAUUUCCAGGAAUGCUGAGAAACUUCCCAGUUCUUCCAUGUUUUAGUUGCCAGAGCGGGAAAGGAGGAGGAAAGUGUUUCUUUCCCGCAUUAGAAAUCAUAGAACAGUAGAAUCAUAGAAGGGCUGGAAGGUUGGAAGAGACCUCAGAGAUCACUUCGUUCCAUUCCCCUACCAUGGGCAGGGCUGCCACCCACCAGAUCAGGCUGUCCAGGGCCCCAUCCAACCUGGCCCUGUACACCUGCAAGGAUGGGGCACCCACAACCCUUAAAAGGAGGCACAGGCAUUAGGUAAGGCACAAAAAUCUCAGAGGUGAGCCUGCCUUCCUGGAGGGUCCUUCUGUGGCCACCUGUGCAGGUGCAGAGUGCUGAGCCAGGGUAAGCUGUGUGCGCAGGGACCUGCGCUGCCCUUCUGUUUCCCUGCAAUUACCCAGCCCUGUGAGUAAAAGAUUUUUUAACAGAUUUAAUAAACCUGAAAUGCCCAGCA
RNAcentral lists this long non-coding RNA (1534 nucleotides) under Numida meleagris (helmeted guineafowl). Its description in RNAcentral is "lncRNA (ENSNMEG00000017640.1)". Lineage: Eukaryota; Metazoa; Chordata; Aves; Galliformes; Numididae. The record is from RNAcentral.